RNAcentral lists this long non-coding RNA (738 nucleotides) under Brachypodium distachyon (stiff brome). RNAcentral describes it as "long non-coding RNA (BDIS_LNC004719)". Lineage: Eukaryota; Viridiplantae; Streptophyta; Magnoliopsida; Poales; Poaceae. The record is from RNAcentral.
UAAUUUCAAAUUUGGGAAAGAAGUUAUGAUGUAAUUGUAGGGCUGAGCUUUUAUUUUGGGUAGAAAUAGAUUGCUACCUUCCUUUUCUAAUCCUCAGAUUACUCCCUUCCUUCUAAUCGUGAGAUUACUCCUUUCCUUCUUCUAAUUCUGAGAUUGCUCCCUUCCUAAUUCUAAUCCUGAGAUUGCUUCCUUUUUUAAUCCUAAUUCUAAUCCAGGCGGAGGGUGGUGAGGCGAAGGCGCGGGCGCAGGAGGCACUUGAGGCGCUGGCCAAGCCAGGGACGGCCGCAAGACCUUCCUCGCCUAGAGCUCGCCUGGAUCAUCACCGACGACUUGGAGCAGAGGGACGGCCGCGGGAGCUCCCUGGCCUGGAGCAGAGGCCGCCAACCUGGAGAUGCCGGGGGCGGUGCGGUGGUGGGGCGGCGACCUGCUGGCCGGAGCAGGUGGAUGGGCGGCGAGUUGUGGAGGCGGGCAUCCGCGAUGGAUCUCCUGUGCUCCGCGAGAUUGGAUUGCCGGCUCUGGCGGGAGGCCGGCGGGAGCUCCGCCUGCCUUCGGCGGCGCGAGGGCAGCGGGACGGCGACGCGAGGGUAGCGAGCCAGCGGGAGCUCCGCUUGCUUCUGGGGGAAGAUUUCAGUUUGGAUUUCAAUUUGAAUUUCAAUUUCCAGCCCAAAUUUCAAACGAAUUUCAAUUUGAGGGAUCUUUUGACAAAAAUUCAAUUGCACGGGAGGGGUGGAAGGAUGC